CCUACGGGGGGCAGCAGUAGGGAAUCUUCCACAAUGGGCGAAAGCCUGAUGGAGCAACGCCGCGUGCAGGAUGAAGGCCUUCGGGUUGUAAACUGCUUUUAUAAGCGAGAAAUAUGAUGGUAACUUAUGAAUAAGGAUCGGCUAACUACGUGCCAGCAGCCGCGGUCAUACGUAGGAUCCGAGCAUUAUCCGGAGUGACUGGGUGUAAAGAGUUGCGUAGGUGGCAUAAUAAGUAGCUAGUGAAAUCUGGUGGCUCAACCAUUCAGACUAUUAGCUAAACUGUUAAGCUCGAGACCGUUAGGGGUAACUGGAAUUUCUAGUGUAGGAGUGAAAUCCGUAGAUAUUAGAAGGAACACCAAUAGCGUAGGCAGGUUGCUGGGACGGUUCUGACACUAAGGCACGAAAGCGUAGGGAGCAAACGGGAUUAGAUACCCCAGUAGUC
Molecule: ribosomal RNA, 442 nt
Filed under: uncultured bacterium
Lineage: Bacteria
Description: partial 16S ribosomal RNA
Rfam family: Bacterial small subunit ribosomal RNA
Source: RNAcentral